CAGAUGUUGCGGAGUACUUCUUAAGUCGGGCGGUUGAGGUCUCCAGCAACGAAUAUGAACCUUCUGAACGUGAUAUCAUCUAUGCAGAAGGGGUCACCAAAGGGAAUGGUUUGGCUUUCAUAGAAUUUUCCCUUGAUGAUUGCAGCCCAAUGUCUGAAACAUACACAGAUAAUAUGGAAGCUCCACCCCCACCUCUUACAAAAUACCAACUUAUUAGGGGAAAUGCAAAGGGGAUGAAUGAGGGUUGCAAAUGGGUGGAAAUGUUUGAAGAUGUCAGUGUAGUAGUGUUCUGUGUUGCCCUCAGUGACUAUGAUCAGAUGUGUCUUGCACCGGAGAGUGGUGGCAGUGGAUCGCUACUUCAGAACAAGAUGAUGCAAAGCAAGGAGCUGUUUGAGGCUAUGAUC
RNAcentral lists this unclassified non-coding RNA (404 nucleotides) under Hevea brasiliensis (rubber tree). The record is from RNAcentral. Lineage: Eukaryota; Viridiplantae; Streptophyta; Magnoliopsida; Malpighiales; Euphorbiaceae.